RNAcentral lists this ribosomal RNA (497 nucleotides) under uncultured bacterium. RNAcentral describes it as "partial 16S ribosomal RNA". It matches the Rfam family "Bacterial small subunit ribosomal RNA", at positions 28 to 507 of the family's 1533-position model. The record is from RNAcentral.
GAUGAACGCUGGCGGCGUGCCUAAUACAUGCAAGUCGAGCGAACGGACGCGAAGCUUGCUUUUCUGAUGUUAGCGGCGGACGGGUGAGUAACACGUGGAUAACCUACCUAUAAGACUGGGAUAACUUCGGGAAACCGGCGCUAAUACCGGAUAAUAUUUUGAACCGCAUGGUUCAAAAGUGAAAGACGGUCUUGCUGUCACUUAUAGAUGGAUCCGCGCUGCAUUAGCUAGUUGGUAAGGUAACGGCUUACCAAGGCAACGAUGCAUAGCCGACCUGAGAGGGUGAUCGGGCACACUGGAACUGAGACACGGUCCAGACUCCGACGGUAGGCAGCAGUAGGGAAUCUUCCGCGAUGGGCGAAUGCCUGACGGUGCAACGCCGCGUGAGUGAUGAAGGUCUUCGGAUCGUAAAACGCUGUUAUUAGGGAAGAACAUAUGUGUAAGUAACUGUGCACAUCUUGACGGUACCUAAUCAGAAAGCCACGGCUAACUACGUG